This 497-nucleotide ribosomal RNA is filed under the name uncultured bacterium. RNAcentral's name for it is "partial 16S ribosomal RNA". It matches the Rfam family "Bacterial small subunit ribosomal RNA", at positions 28 to 507 of the family's 1533-position model. The record is from RNAcentral.
GAUGAACGCUGGCGGCGUGCCUAAUACAUGCAAGUCGAGCGAACGGACGAGAAGCUUGCUUCUCUGAUGUUAGCGGCGGACGGGUGAGUAACACGUGGAUAACCUACCUAUAAGACUGGGAUAACUUCGGGAAACCGGAGCUAAUACCGGAUAAUAUUUUGAACCGCAUGAUUCAAAAGUGAAAGACGGUCUUGCUGUCACUUAUAGAUGGAUCCGCUCUGCAUUAGCUAGUUGGUAAGGUAACGGCUUACCAAGGCAACGAUGCAUAGCCGACCUGAGAGGGUGAUCGGCCACACUGGAACUGAGACACGUUCCAGACUCCUACGGGAGGCAGCAGUAGGGAAUCUUCCGCAAUGGGCGAAAGCCUGACGGAGCAACGCCGCGUGAGUGAUGAAGGUCUUCGGAUCGUAAAACUCUGUUAUUAGGGAAGAACAUAUGUGUAAGUAACUGUGCACAUCUUGACGGUACCUAAUCAGAAAGCCACGGCUAACUACGUG